RNAcentral lists this ribosomal RNA (328 nucleotides) under uncultured eukaryote. Its description in RNAcentral is "partial 18S ribosomal RNA". It matches the Rfam family "Eukaryotic small subunit ribosomal RNA", at positions 1470 to 1796 of the family's 1831-position model. The record is from RNAcentral.
CCCUUAGAUGUUCUGGGCUGCACGCGCGCUACACUGAUGCACUCAACGAGUUUACGACCUUGCCCGAUAGGGUUGGGUAAUCUUUUUAAAAUGCAUCGUGAUGGGGAUAGAUUAUUGCAAUUAUUAAUCUUCAACGAGGAAUUCCUAGUAAGCGCGAGUCAUCAGCUCGCGCUGAAUACGUCCCUGCCCUUUGUACACACCGCCCGUCGCUCCUACCGAUUGAGUGGUCCGGUGAGGCUUUGGGAUCUGAGCGGAAAGAGCGUUUCGCUGUUUCUGCUCGGAAAACUCAGUCGAACCUUAUCAUUUAGAGGAAGGAGAAGUCGUAACA